This is a long non-coding RNA of Triticum aestivum (bread wheat), 2938 nucleotides long. RefSeq lists it as uncharacterized. NCBI's taxonomy places the organism in Eukaryota, Viridiplantae, Streptophyta, Magnoliopsida, Poales, Poaceae. The transcript is spliced from 5 exons. The record is from RefSeq and is a predicted model, not a curated record.
CCCCGCACGGAACGUUCCCACGCCCAACGAACAGAGCACGGCCGGGGCCUCCACCGCCGCUCCACGCCCCCAUCCUCCUCCUCCGCCGCCGCCGCUCCCAGCCUCCAUCCUCCGCCGCUCCACGCCCCCCCACUCUUCGCCCGCUCCUCUUGUGCUGCCCCACGGACGCCAGCUCGGGCCGCCGCCGCCAACCGCUGGCACCCCACCGCCGCCCGCCGAUCCUAAACUCGGGCGUCGCUCCAAUCGCCUGCCGUCGCCGCUCCACUCGGCCUCCACCACCGAUCCUCCACUCGCCCACAGUUGCCGUUCAACUUGAUCUCCUCCGCCGAUCCUCCACUUCACGGCCGGCCACUUAUACGGAAUCUGCACUUUCCCAUAAUACCACGAUGGACUCCUCAAGUGGCAAGAAAAUUACUACGCAAUAGCUUGUGAACUUUUCAAGGAUGUUUUGAAUGAUCCACUAAUAUCCGAAAUUCAGAUGAAGAAUCAUCACCCACCUGCAUCCCCGUUAGGAUCAGGGGAAUGUUCCCUGUUUGAAGAUCUGGCGAAUACGCCUACUCAUGUUAAUGCAAAUCAAGCGGGAGUUGGCCUGCGGUUCUGUUGGUCUUCCCCAUCUCAGGGGUUGGGACUUGAGAGGCCGCGUAUAUGAGAUCCGAGAGGCACAUGGUUGUUUAUUCAUCGACUACGGUGCCGCUGCAUGGGGAGAACGGCUAUGGCUGACGCCUCCAUCUCUCUAAACGAUGCUGACACCAUAUUAUAAAUGACGCUGCCGACGACUCCUCUCAGACCGACCCUGGACGGUACAAUCUGGUUAUGCAAAUCUUCGUGUCUUACUACUGAGGAAUAUCCGUCUAUGAAGGCAAAUCAUGUUUACUUACUGAUGAUAGUGUGUUUUGGACAAUUGGGUUCGAGAAUAAUUGUGGUGAUUUGGAAAUUCUUAACUUGGAUAAUAACACAAGGAACGAACUUGUGUCUCCUCAACUUUCUGUUACGGACCUAAAUCAAGCAGAGGCCAGAAUCACCUUCUAAGGUCUCUCGUUCGCUUCAUAGCAUCGGAAGAAGGAUAUAAAUUCAGGUUACACCCUUGGGUACAUGAAGGAGGAAGUGGGUGAGAUAUAGAUGGAAGCAGGAUUGGGACGAGAGAUAGAGGUAAUCCAGCAAAAGGGCGAGGACCAAAGAGGUAGGUGAUUCAAAUUCAGGUCACCGUCGUUUCCUUUGAUGCUUCGCCUUGAAGUCUUUCCUCUGGUUAAGUAGCCUACCGAGUCGAAGGAGGCCACAGAAGCUUGUAUCUUCUGGGUUGGACUUUGUCUUCUUCAGGUUGGUCCACUGGCCCAUUUGUUCGCUGUUUUAGGCACUUCUUCUCUUCGCCAGUUAACUUAACAGCAGGCACUUCUUCUCUUCAUCAGUUAACUUAGUAUUCUUCAAGUGUUGUUUUCUUCGUCAGUUAACUCCUUCAGGUUUGCAUUCUUGUCCUCGGUGCACACAAACUUCUAUCGCAGGUUAAGACUUUUGUCCGACUGCCCAUCUCCCAUGUGGAUUACACAUGAUCCUAGAAAGCUGAACAUGGCUUUGACUAAAUAGUUUUGUGUUUUCUUGGUUUAUCAAUGUUAUAAUCAUGAAGUUUGGUAAAUGGUGGUCAGUUAAUAUAUCACUUGGGUUUGGAUAAUACACUUAAUCAUACAUUCUGUAUAAAUGCAAUGCCUAUUUUUUUAAUUCUAAAGUGUAUUAACAACCUGAGAAUGCUAUGAUGGGGCUAAUCUGAAUAUGGCAAUCCAUGAUAUGUUCUGAUGCACACUUUUACUGAUAUUAGGAAUAGAAAGAAUACUUUGAUGUAGCAUAUCUGCACUGUUCAUGUAUAACUAAAAGUGACUAAACUCUUUUUCUUUCACUCGCCAACUUAAUUCAGUGUAUUCACAUUUCAUCUGAGCCGAUUCAGAGAUUAGCCGAUGGUUUCUUCUGCAAUUUCUACAUCAGAUCAUCUAAAAGAAUCUAAAACUUUCUUGUCCAAGUUAUAAUCUUCGUUGUUCAGAAUUUGAUUAUACAUUUCAUCAGUCGCCACAUCUAUACAUUUCAUAGGCUGGGUGUUUUGUGUUUUGGCCCAACCAACAUAUACCAUAAAAGGAGUACUUUUUUGUUUUGGAUUAUUGUAGAGUUAUGAAGGUAUGCUAGAAUGGAUGAACAUAAAGAUCAAAUAGUGAUAAUUAAUUGCAAUGAAAAUAAUAGCUUCAAGACAACAUUAGAUAGUCAUGUUUGCAAAGCAUAAUAUGGUUCUUUCUGCAUAGGGCACACUUGCAUGUAUGAGAGCUCAGGCAAGAGGCAGGUUAAUUCAACUAAAGACACAAAUUUCAUGAGAAAAACACCAAAAACAUUGUGUGCAAAGAUGUCUUGAAGGGGUGAAUAAAAGUUUGUUCUUCCUUCAUGCCAAUCCAUCUUAUGAUGUUAUAUUUUUAUUGUGGAUAUAUUGCCAUGCCAGGGUUGGUGGCGAUGGCUGGUGCUUGUAAUUUUGCAGCCCUUGCCAGUGUCGUGGUGGGAGGACUGCCAUGAAAGGUACUGGAGCAAGAUUUCUUAUAUCUGGGUGAGGGCAUCAAUCAAUGUUGGGACAAGGAAUCUCAUCACUGCAACAAUAUAUAGCUACCACAUUGGACCAGGCGCGUUUAUCUUGAGCAUAGCUAGACGGAAAAACAUAUUUCCUGAGCUGGCAUGUGAAGGAAGCAAACAAAAGGACUGCACUCACACGGAACCAUGAAGCCAACGAUCUAUGUCAACCAGAUGUUUUAGAUUUCAUUUUGCACAAUUGAUGUCUCAUACUUGCAUCUUUUACCUUCUGUGAACCUGAUGCAUGGUGUCAUGGUGGUUAUGUUUAGAAGACUGAAGUGUAUGUAUGUGACAAAUAGUUAAUGGAAUAAAAAAAUGUUUGGUGCACCUGAUGUGAGCCUGA